Molecule: RNA transcript, 4543 nt
Organism: Myzus persicae (green peach aphid)
Lineage: Eukaryota; Metazoa; Arthropoda; Insecta; Hemiptera; Aphididae
Gene name: endoplasmic reticulum resident protein 44-like
Exons: 6
Source: RefSeq, a predicted model, not a curated record
AUUUUUGAUAAAAUUGACUUUUAUUAUUUUUCUCAAAUAUUUAAAACAUUGUAAUGUCUUAAUAUUUAAUAUCUGUCCUGACUAUUCCUAUAGAUAGGAUUUUGUUAAGUAAAAUUAUCCACUUGAAUAAAAUUACAGUGCUCAAUCUGAAUUUCAAUUUGACCAUUCAAACUUUGCAAGUUUUAACAAAGUUAUUCGGUUAAUCUGAGUUGUACAUAUAACAAUUUUACAAUGACAAAGAAAUUUAAUUUAAAAUUCUUAUUAUUUUCCUAUAUAUUUGAUGUAUCUCAUUUUUUAACUAGUUAAGCGAACUGUCCUUCUUUGUUUUAUUGAUUUUAGUUGGAUAAUUUAUAAUAAUAUUAAUAAUAAUAAUGUUAUUCUCUUAACCUAGUCACAAACCUUUCUGAUAAAUUAAUUUAAUUUUAGACUAGAAAAUAUAAACAUAUUAAGACAAUAGGAUUGUACUCACUAUAUUAUAGAAAAUAGCAAUCAAUAAACCAUUUUGUUUCACUAGUCGUAGCAUUAUCUAACGAGUAUAAUUUAAAAUUGAUUUAAAAAUUGUUAGGAUGUUAGGUUAGCACUAUAAUCCGAAAACCAGAAUAUAGCUUUUUAAGUUAUAGCAUUUUAAGUACUUAGUACAAUUUUAGUAUUUCAAAGUUAGUUCUUUUAAUAAUUGUGUUAUGUUUUUGUAUAUAUACCUAUUAUAUGGUAUUUUAUAAUUGACUAUAGGUACAUAAGUACAUGAUGUUAUAAUUAAAAUGUAAAAACGUGUAUGUUUUCUUCCUGUUUCAGACAAUACUGUGUUUAUAUACGUUAGAUCGCUGAUAAUAUAUAAUAUGCCUAACACAUAAUUCAGAGAGUAGUCUAGCGAAAGCGAUUCGUUAAAAUUUAGACUAUUUAUGGAAACCUGGGGUAAUUGGACAUUUAGUACGGAAAACGAAGAUUUAUUGGCUGGAGUGUUAAACAAAUUCGCUUCGGAUCAAUGCAGCUUAGAUACACCGAAAAAAGUUCUUUUGUCGUCUUUGGCUGCUUCAUCGAAAACUGUACGUGUUGAAACCUCCAGUUCGAGCAGCGAUGACAGCGAUAUUGACGGAGACUUUAACGCCGUUCAGGCGUGUUUUCCAAAAUCCUGCUCAGACGUGUCAUCGAAUGUGGAAUCUAAGCCUACAGCGUCUGUCGUCGACGACUUGCAGCUACAGCCUGCCUGCACCGGCGCUACAUUGGGUAAUUUUAACGACGAAUCUUCCUUCCUGCCGAGUCAACCGCAGGUGGAAGACCCACACGAAAACGCAAUAAAACAAAUCGUCGAAAUGUUAAACGCUGGAGACUACGACACCAAAGAAUUGUUUUCCGCGUUGCAGACUGAGCGAAGCAACCGGAAAGACGUGUCGGAGAUAAUCGGGGACGUGUGGCCGGAAAUUGUCACUGACAAAGCUCGCCACGGUUUUUGCGAAGCACUUGUCCAAACCGACGUAAGGCCGCAAAUAAUUUGUGAAGAGAUCUAUUUACCCUGGUUCAAAACACGUGAGUCGAAUUUGACUGGGUUCGUUGACAGUCUGUCCAAACUGAUUGUCCACUUUCCAGAAUACGCUUGCAAGUCAUUCCUCGUCAAACUGCUGAUAGACAGAGAAUCGAUUCUAGUUAAACACUUGAAUUGGCUCGUGGACAUCAUGAAAUCUCUCGACCAACAACAUUGGUGUAUUCUUUUAAACGAAUACAUAAAUAACUGCGAUGGUCUGGAUCAGUAUCAAAUACCAGUUUUGUUGCACUUGGUGAACAAUUGCCAAAAAAGACUAAACAACGAUGACGCCGAACGUCUGGUGGAGUUGUGCAGAAACUCGGCCCAUGAAUAUUCUACUAACAGAGACUUUGGGUUGUUGUUAAUGUCCGUGAUUGGAGCAAUCGACUUGGACAAAUUUCGAUCGGAAAUGACGACAGUAUGCGGACAACUGAAAGGCGUUUCGAAGUUUAUGAUCAUGAAAGCUCUAAAGGAUUCUAAAUAAAUCAGUAUACCUAUAUUGUUUAUUACCUUAUAAAUUGUUAAAUUAAAAUGUUUUUAUAAUAUUAUUAAAUAAUUAUUUAUGUGAUACAUUUUUUUUGCGAUUAUAUCCAAAAGUAUAGCCCUAUAUGUGCAUGUAUAAUUUAGGUCACAGCACUAAGUAUAACAUUAGUAUACCUGGGAAUUUUUUGUUUAUGGCUAUUGAAUAUAUUAUAUUAUUAUCUAAGCUCGGGCGACAAACGAUCAGUCUCACCUACAUGUAUAUAUUAUGUUAACGCGUGUUUACUGAAUUUGACAGUAAUUUUUGGGUAAGCACCCAAAAAUAAAAUGAAAAUAGCGGAGGAGCUCCGUCUCCUUGUGAACCUCCCAAUUCGAGCAUUAGAUAGGAUUUUAAAAAAACAAUCACGGCUUUGCUAGAUAUUGCUCUACAAUGCAUUAAUACUAUAUUAUCUUUUGUAAUUAUAUUGGUAAAUAUCAUUUAUAAUAGUUUUUUAUAUUAGUUUGUUUACUAAAUUGUUACACUUUAACAUUUUAGAAUGUAAUUAAUUGGUCGUCAGUCGUAACUCUGUUCUGGUCUUGCAGUUGCAAAGAAUCAAGUAUACAUGAAUCCAUAUUGGAAAAAGUUUCUGAACUUUAUCCAGAUCCAUGGAAAGUUUUUAUUGGAUAAUCAUUCUAUUAUGAUUCACGUAAGUAAAAUAAACAUUAUUUAACUAUUUAUUUAGAAUAGUAAAUGCCUUAUUGGGAAUACAGAGUACAGUUAAAUUAAUAUAAAAACUAAUAUUUGAUAAAGAAUUUUGGCUGAGGAAUGAGGACAAAAAGAAUAACAACAUUUAAAAACAAUAACGAGUUACAAAUUUCGAUAUGGUUUCCAAGCGGAAAAUUUUUUUUGCUUCUAUAAAUUAUAAAUAUUGUUUAAUCAAUAUAUCAUAGAAUGAAAAAAAAGUCUAAAUAAUUUUUUAUGAACCAUUUUCUAGGCAUAUGGUAUAAUGUUCAACACUUGUGGGCUCUUCUGUGCUAUUUGCACUGCUUAUAAACAUAAAAAAUACAUACCUAUAUGCACAAUAUUUUUUUGUAUGAGCACUUGAAUCCAAAAUUUUUUGAAAUUUGAUAUUUAAAUAAAAAAUAACAACUUUAAUUAUUUUGUUGUUUUUCAAAAAAUAUUAUUCGUGGUGACCUCAAACUUUUUGCCAUUAGGUACUUGAGCAUAAUAUCUUUACACAAUCAUUCAAUGACGAGUUAACCCGGCACAUUUCAUAGGUAUUUACAGAAAAAUGAGUUCUCUGUUUUUUUUUCUUAUAUUGUAUUAACUAUUAAUAAUAAAUAAUGUAAAUAUAAAAAUAUAUACAUAAGUAAUAUUUAUAUUUACAUUAUAAAUUUUAACACUUUAUUUCCCCAAAACUAAAACCCCUACGAAAACAUGUUUAUUCAGAAUAAUUACUAAUACUAAUUACUCACUCACGAAAAAUGAACUAAUUAUCAGUAUUGACUAUUGGCUAUUGCUUAUAUUAAUAAAUGGACACCUUACACACAAUGUAUAGGCCAUUUUCCAUACACUAACGGUGCGCAAAUAUUGCAACCGUUGGUGCAAAAUAUACGUAUAUAAUCCGACUUCGAUGAAUCUGCAUCAUAGUAUAGUUUCUGUAUUUCAACUCCUGGUGCAACGAAACUAGGAAACCAAGCUGAUGACUGACGUGCAACACAUUUCGCCAUUUCGGUUUGACUAAUGAGUCACGAAUUAAGACAAACUUGAUAGGAAUUUGCACUCAGUAUUAAAGAUUCGUGGUAUAUGCAUGAAUAUUCCAUUUAUGUUCUAUCAUAGAUUAAAUAUACUUAAGUAUACUUAAGUAUAUUUAAUUUAUGGUUCUAUGCUCAAUAAUACUAUCAUCAUGACGUGACAUGUGACAAUUAUUGACAAACAAUACUCAUAUAGUUAUAACUUAUAAGUUAUAACACAAUAUUGUUUCAUUGUUUAGGUCGGUCGUAAACUUGCGCAAUGCGUACUGCGCACUUGACAGAUAUCUAUAGAAGUGAGUGUCGAAUACAAACUGUAGACUCCGGUAGUCGGUGUGCGCAGUUACCACGUUGCGCUUCAGUGCUUGUCGCCGGCGAUUUGUAUUACGCCGGUUAUUGGUGUCGUCGAACUUUUUUUCGUCUAGCCAGAUCGAAUCUUUUUAAUUACGUGACAACUAUUGCUCCACACCUUGUGGUUCUCAGUAUUACCUAUCCAUAGAUAUAAUAUAAUAUACUGAUAAACGUAAGUAUCAUAAAUUAUAAUUUAUAGGAUUCAGUCGUUUUGGUUGGAGUUUUGCGAAUCGACACUUAAGCUGGACAUGAUCUCUGAAAAUUCGGCGAGCAGUAGUAAAAUCGUGGAGAUCGACUGGAAAAAUGUCUCCCAGAUAUUUGGUAAUUUAGUACACUGCAGAUAGUCACGUCCGGGAUUAAGUCUGAGAGGCAGUAUAAGCACAUACUUUUAAAUAGGCCUGUUGUACAGCAACAUUCAACUUUUAUAGAUGUAUUAGCAAUAAAGUCUCAUCUUGGAAAUAA